GAGGGUAUAGCUCAGUGGUACAGUGUGUGCCUAGCAUACACAAGGUCCUGGGUUCAAUCCCCCGUACCUCCA
Camelus ferus (Wild Bactrian camel) is the source of this 72-nucleotide transfer RNA. It matches the Rfam family "tRNA". From Rfam's summary of the family: Transfer RNA (tRNA) molecules are approximately 80 nucleotides in length. Their secondary structure includes four short double-helical elements and three loops (D, anti-codon, and T loops). The record is from Rfam. Lineage: Eukaryota; Metazoa; Chordata; Mammalia; Artiodactyla; Camelidae.